AAGGAACACCUAUCUAGUAGAGGUGUCCUUCAGAGGCAUCCCUGGGUCUAGGUGUCCACUUCGUGAAAGCAAGGAACGCAGAUGGUUCAUCAGGGGGAGGAAACUUCAGGGAAAAGUUCCCGAGAUGAGUAGUGAUUCACUUAAUGGUGGGAUUUGAAAGGAAGCCAAGUGAGUGGAGCAAAGAGAGAAGGAAGAGGGAAGCAAGGAGAGGCUGGAGGCUGAAAGGGAGGAGGAGAAGGAGGAGAUCAGAGCAUGCCAAGCUGCUAGUCUGACUCUGAGGAAGCCUCACAGCUCACUAAGGGAAGCUGCAGGAAGGUUUCCAGAGGUGGAGCUCUAUGAUCAGAUUUACAUAGCUCAGAGAUGGGGUGGCGGGUGCUUAGUGAUUCAAAAAACCCACUGAAGAUGACCAGGACCACAGUCAUUGGAUUUUCAGAGACAAGGCUUGCCUGGUCUACAUGAACUUGAUGGAACAGAGCUAACAAACUCUGAAGAAUGAACUAUAUCACAGCCAGCAAGCCUGACCUAUCAAUCUGUGAGCACAGUGAGAGACUGGAUUCCACCACUGCUAACCUCCUGUUUUACAAAGUGCUCCAACAAAUUCUGCUGAACUAAAUUAACACUGUGAGACUCGAGACGGAGGUCACAGUGAAGGACCAUGACCACCUUGCACCCGCCUGCCCACCCCGUUGGACUCAGGAGUUUGAGACUCUUAUGACAUAGACAGAGGAAAGAUGGUCAGAAUCAGUCCCGGGCCAGCUCUUCUGCUCUCCCUCUGCAAAACUCCGGGUGCAAAAUUCCUCUAGACCGUCUUUCCAUUGCUGAGCAAAGAAUUUUCCACCAAAGCACCUCUCAGAAAAGAAGCGCUUGUCCCCAGCUAGGUUUUAGGUACCUGUUGAAAAAUCUCUCCAUUACAUGGUACAGAGGAACAAAUGAGUUUAAGUACAUGUUUUAGAGAUCUGUUUGUAUUCUGAUCCAGCUUGACUGUUCUAAUGGGAUUCUCUUGCUUUUUUGCAAGACAAUAAAGCGUGUGGACAGUAAUCUCUAAAAAUAACAACGAAUCUCCUGAAGCCUGACGUGUAUUUCAAUUACAAUUAUUGCAACAUCUGACAAUUUCUUCUUGACAAUCCCCUUAGUGGUACAAUUGGAAAUCAGAAAUUCUCCAAUUUUUUUAAAUGAUUGCUUUCAUUAUCCCAAAGGUUGCAUUUCUCAAAAUUAAGGGGAGUAGAAAAGAAUUCUUAAGGAACUAGCUUCUGAAAACAUUUGUGUUCCUUGAGAAUUCUCAAGGGGAUAAUUCUAGAGCUGAACUGCUAAAGUAAGUACUAUUGAUGUGAUGACUGUUAAAAAAUUCCUGAUUUUGCAAAAUUCAAAACAAAUCAAACCCCCUCCCAAAAUGCAAAUCAAUGAAGUGCUAAAUUUUAAGUAGUCUAUGUUUAAUUUACUUAAAAAUGUAUUUUAUUCACAUAUUAAAGUACUGUGUUUAUCAGGUAUUUUAAAUAAAUGUGUGUAAAUACAUUAAUGAAAUAAAUAUAGACACUCAACGAA
Molecule: long non-coding RNA, 1542 nt
Organism: Cavia porcellus (domestic guinea pig)
Lineage: Eukaryota; Metazoa; Chordata; Mammalia; Rodentia; Caviidae
Exons: 3
Source: RefSeq, a predicted model, not a curated record